GAGACUGGCUUCAUUGAUUAUAAAAUGAUCUACAGGAGCCUCUGUUCUUGAAAGGAAGGGGAGAAGAGAGGAGAGAGAAGGAAGGGGAGAGAAGAGAGGAAGGGAGGAACUGGACAAGAGCUGUUUGAAGGAGUCCAGGUAAAAGAAGACUGUAGCUGGUACCACAUUGUUAGUAGUUGAGGACCUCCAGUACAAUUUUCAGGAGAAGUGGCAAGAAUGGACAUCCACCUCCCACCAUGUGAUGACAUGGUAAGAAGGCCCUUGCCAGAUGCUGGCACAUUGAUACCAAACUUCCCAACCUCCAGAACUGUGAGCCAAUAUAUUUCUAGUCAUUAUAAAUUACCUAGUCUGCAGUUUUGUUAUAGCAGCACAGAACAAAGAAAUACAGAUCCUCCCUGACUUAAUGUUGAGGUUAUGUUCUAAUAAACUCAUUUUAACUUGAAAAUAUUUUAAGUUCAAAAUGCAUUUAAUAGAUCUAAACUACAGAACAUCAUAGCUUAGCCUAUCUUAAACAUGCUCAGAACACUUACAUUAGCCUACAGUUGGGCAAAAUCAUCUAACAUCAAGCCUAUUUUCUAAUAAAUCUUAAAUAAUUUUUAAAUAUUUCGUGUAAUUUAUUGAAUACUGUACUGAAAGUGAAAAACAGAAUGGUUGUGUAGGUUCUCACCAUUAAUUUACAGAGUUGAAAGUCCACUGGACUUGAAGCUUGAGACAUUAAACUAAAAUCUAUUGCUGGGUGAUAAGGAUGCUACAACAACUGGGUUAUCAAUUUCUUUCUCUUCUGAUGAAACUUCAGAAUAGUUGGUAGAAGGCACUGAGACACUGACAUAUUGAUUUAGCAGGCAUAGUGUUCUUCAGAAAGACAUCGAGUAUUGGUUAUUUAUCCUCAUGUUACAUAUUUUACAUCAUUUGUUACUUCUCCCAUAUUUCUGAUUAUUUUAAAAAUUUUUGUCAAAAAGAAAUGAUCAUCAGAUUUGAGAAGAUCUAUCUGCCCUUAAGUUCACUAACAUUUACCAUCUAUACUUUGUUAAGAUCAUACUGUAAACAUUUUUAUUCAUUUAUUAUACUUUUCAGUUCUAGCAUUUUCAAUUUUUGUUUUUUCACAGUUAACAUUUCUCUUUUGAAAUUUCCUCUCUGUUGACUCAUUAAAACCAUUUUUUUCCAUAUUUGGCCUGGUUUGGUUUUUCUGUUGCUCUGACAUUGUGGAGAAAUUGUUCCCAGGAAGAUAAUGUCAUCUCUGAAUAACGAUAUAUAGUCAAUUUUCAUGCUGCUGAUAAAGACACACCUGAAACUGGGUAAUCUAUCAAGAAAAAGAGGUUUAAUGGACUCACAGUUCCACAUGGCUGGGGCUGCCUCACAGUCAUGGCAGAAGGCAAUAGGCAAGUCUUACGUGGCGGCAGACAAGAGAAAAUGAGACCCAAGCGAAAGGGGAAACCCAUAAUAAAACCAUCAGAUCUUGUGAGACUUAAUUACUACCAUGAGAACAGUAUGGGAGAAACCACCCCCAUAAUUCGAUUAUCUCCCACCAGGUCUCUCCUACAACAUGUGGGAAUUUUGC
This 1558-nucleotide long non-coding RNA is filed under the name Homo sapiens (human). Its description in RNAcentral is "HSALNT0093981". Lineage: Eukaryota; Metazoa; Chordata; Mammalia; Primates; Hominidae. The record is from RNAcentral.